CCUACGGGUGGCAGCAGUGAGGAAUAUUGGUCAAUGGCCGGAAGGCUGAACCAGCCAAGCCGCGUGAGGGAGGAAGGCGCAGAGCGUCGCAGACCUCUUUUGCCGGGGGACAAAAGGCCGGACUCGUCCGGUCCUGAGGGUACCUGUCGAAUAAGCCACGGCUAACUACGUGCCAGCAGCCGCGGUAAUACGUAGGUGGCAAGCGUUGUCCGGAUUUACUGGGUGUAAAGGGCGUGUAGCCGGGUUGACAAGUCAGAUGUGAAAUCCUGCGGCUUAACCGCAGAACUGCAUUUGAAACUGUUGAUCUUGAGUACUGGAGAGGCAGACGGAAUUCCUAGUGUAGCGGUGAAAUGCGUAGAUAUUAGGAGGAACACCAGUGGCGAAGGCGGUCUGCUGGACAGCAACUGACGGUGAGGCGCGAAAGCGUGGGGAGCAAACAGGAUUAGAUACCCCAGUAGUC
RNAcentral lists this ribosomal RNA (460 nucleotides) under uncultured bacterium. Its description in RNAcentral is "partial 16S ribosomal RNA". It matches the Rfam family "Bacterial small subunit ribosomal RNA", at positions 338 to 795 of the family's 1533-position model. The record is from RNAcentral.